CCUACGGGAGGCAGCAGUGAGGAAUAUUGGUCAAUGGACGAGAGUCUGAACCAGCCAAGUAGCGUGAAGGAUGACUGCCCUAUGGGUUGUAAACUUCUUUUAUAUGGGAAUAAAAUGUUCCACGUGUGGGAUUUUGUAUGUACCAUAUGAAUAAGGAUCGGCUAACUCCGUGCCAGCAGCCGCGGUAAUACGGAGGGUCCGAGCGUUAUCCGGAUUUAUUGGGUUUAAAGGGAGCGUAGGUGGAUUGUUAAGUCAGUUGUGAAAGUUUGCGGCUCAACCGUAAAAUUGCAGUUGAAACUGGCAGUCUUGAGUACAGGAGAGGUAGGCGGAAUUCGUGGUGUAGCGGUGAAAUGCUUAGAUAUCACGAAGAACUCCGAUUGCGAAGGCAGUUCACUGGACUGCAACUGACACUGAGGCUCGAAAGUGUGGGUAUCAAACAGGAUUAGAUACCCUGGUAGUC
This 460-nucleotide ribosomal RNA is filed under the name uncultured bacterium. RNAcentral's name for it is "partial 16S ribosomal RNA". It matches the Rfam family "Bacterial small subunit ribosomal RNA", at positions 338 to 795 of the family's 1533-position model. The record is from RNAcentral.